RNAcentral lists this ribosomal RNA (288 nucleotides) under uncultured bacterium. Its description in RNAcentral is "partial 16S ribosomal RNA". It matches the Rfam family "Bacterial small subunit ribosomal RNA", at positions 510 to 793 of the family's 1533-position model. The record is from RNAcentral.
AGCAGCCGCGGUAAUACGGAGGGUGCGAGCGUUAAUCGGAAUUACUGGGCGUAAAGCGCAUGCAGGUGGUUUGUUAAGUCAGAUGUGAAAGCCCGGGGCUCAACCUCGGAAUUGCAUUUGAAACUGGCAAACUAGAGUACUGUAGAGGGGGUAGAAUUUCAGGUGUAGCGGUGAAAUGCGUAGAGAUCUGAAGGAAUACCGGUGGCGAAGGCGGCCCCCCUGGACAGAUACUGACACUCACGAUGCGAAAGCGUGGGGACGCAAACAGGAUUACGACUACCCUGGUAG